RNAcentral lists this long non-coding RNA (719 nucleotides) under Parus major (Great Tit). Its description in RNAcentral is "lncRNA (ENSPMJG00000016277.1)". The record is from RNAcentral. Lineage: Eukaryota; Metazoa; Chordata; Aves; Passeriformes; Paridae.
UUGUAUCUUGACAGGUGCCAAUCAGACCAGUUCUUAAAGACUCCGCCAGUGCUGCAGGCAAUAUGUGCCAGUGCUUCCUUGUCCUUUUCAAAGCUUCUCUUUAUCCAGAUUGAGGCAUGGGCUAGGUUCUUUAUCUACCUGUCCAGCAACAUAAAAGUGGGGUAGCAUGUUGCAACACUACUGGUGACUUGCAGAAUGUUCUAUGGACAGUACUUCCUCCAGGUCAGGGUGGGGAUGGUGAAAAGCCUGGAGUGCAAAUUCAAAUGGCUGAAAUACAUCUUGUGUCCAGGAUAAACAACAGAGAGGGGACUGUGUCUGAGAGUACUGAAGCUGAUUGUAGUCUUCACCCUGCAACUUAUUGUCAUCCUUCGUAGUGGCCAUGAAGGGUCUCAGAGGCUAUCAAACAAAGCUGCCCAACCUUACACUCAUCCAUCAUCCUUGAGUUAUUAAGAGAGUAGCUGCAGAACAUUUACAAGUGCAUAGGAUGGAUUGCUGGCUGCUUUUCAAGAACACAGUCAGUGCUACAAAAACUUUGCAAGAUGGCAAAUUUUCUCAUGUUUCCUUUUCCUUGCUCUGCUAGGACCUGCUUGAAGGAACAGUUUCUUGAAUUUAGGGUUACUAAUCUAGGUUGAUGCCAAAGCUGUUACUCAUUCAUAUCUAGUACUAGAUUUUAAUUUUAUUUGAAUAAAAUAUUUCAAUUUUGGUGUCUGUGUCUUAAA